Molecule: ribosomal RNA, 1343 nt
Filed under: uncultured bacterium
Lineage: Bacteria
Description: 16S ribosomal RNA
Rfam family: Bacterial small subunit ribosomal RNA
Source: RNAcentral
GACGAACGCUGGCGGCGUGCUUAACACAUGCAAGUCGAACGGAAUGGCCCUGCUUUUGUGGGGUGCUCGAGUGGCGAACGAGUGAGUAACACGUGAGUAGCCUGCCCUUGACUUUGGGAUAACUUCAGGAAACUGGGGCUAAUACCGGAUAGGAGCUCCUGCUGCACGGUGGGGGUUGGAAAGUUUCGGCGGUUGGGGAUGGACUCGCGGCUUAUCAGCUUGUUGGUGGGGUAGUGGCUUACCAAGGCUUUGACGGGUAGCCGGCCUGAGAGGGUGACCGGCCACAUUGGGACUGAGAUACGGCCCAGACUCCUACGGGAGGCAGCAGCGGGGAAUAUUGCACAAUGGGCGGAAGCCUGAUGCAGCAACGCCGCGUGCGGGAUGACGGCCUUCGGGUUGUAAACCGCUUUCGCCUGUGACGAAGCGUGAGUGACGGUAAUGGGUAAAGAAGCACCGGCUAACUACGUGCCAGCAGCCGCGGUGAUACGUAGGGUGCGAGCGUUGUCCGGAUUUAUUGGGCGUAAAGGGCUCGUAGGUGGUUGAUCGCGUCGGAAGUGUAAUCUUGGGGCUUAACCCUGAGCGUGCUUUCGAUACGGGUUGACUUGAGGAAGGUAGGGGAGAAUGGAAUUCCUGGUGGAGCGGUGGAAUGCGCAGAUAUCAGGAGGAACACCAGUGGCGAAGGCGGUUCUCUGGGCCUUUCCUGACGCUGAGGAGCGAAAGCGUGGGGAGCGAACAGGCUUAGAUACCCUGGUAGUCCACGCUGUAAACGGUGGGUACUAGGUGUGGGGUCCAUUCCACGGGUUCCGUGCCGUAGCUAACGCUUUAAGUACCCCGCCUGGGGAGUACGGCCGCAAGGCUAAAACUCAAAGGAAUUGACGGGGCCCCGCACAAGCGGCGGAGCAUGCGGAUUAAUUCGAUGCAACGCGUAGAACCUUACCUGGGUUUGACAUGGAUCGGGAGUGCUCAGAGAUGGGUGUGCCUCUUUUGGGGUCGGUUCACAGGUGGUGCAUGGCUGUCGUCAGCUCGUGUCGUGAGAUGUUGGGUUAAGUCCCGCAACGAGCGCAACCCUUGUUCACUGUUGCCAGCACGUUAUGGUGGGGACUCAGUGGAGACCGCCGGGGUCAACUCGGAGGAAGAUGGGGAUGACGUCAAGUCAUCAUGCCCCUUAUGUCCAGGGCUUCACGCAUGCUACAAUGGCUGGUACAGAGAGUGGCGAGCCUGUGAGGGUGAGCGAAUCUCGGAAAGCCGGUCUCAGUUCGGAUUGGGGUCUGCAACUCGACCUCAUGAAGUCGGAGUCGCUAGUAAUCGCAGAUCAGCAACGCUGCGGUGAAUACGUUCCCGGG